This 806-nucleotide ribosomal RNA is filed under the name uncultured bacterium. RNAcentral's name for it is "bacterial SSU rRNA". It matches the Rfam family "Bacterial small subunit ribosomal RNA", at positions 1 to 803 of the family's 1533-position model. The record is from RNAcentral.
GGAAUUCGCCCUUAGAGGGCCUUUUGGCUCAGGACGAACGCUGGCGGCGUGCUUAACACAUGCAAGUUGAACGGGGUUCGCUCUAUGAAGUGUUGUAGCGAAUUAGAGCGAUGAGAGUAGCGGACGGGCGAGUAACGCGUGAGUAACCUGCCCUUUGCUGGGGGAUAACAUCGGGAAACCGGUGCUAAUACCGCAUAAGACCACAGUGCCACAUGGUACGGCGGUCAAAGCUCCGGCGGCAAAGGAUGGACUCGCGUCCAAUUAGCUAGUUGGUAGGGUAAUGGCCUACCAAGGCGACGAUUGGUAUCCGAACUGAGAGGUUGAUCGGACGCAUUGGGACUGAGACACGGCCCAGACUCCUACGGGAGGCAGCAGUGGGGAAUAUUGCGCAAUGGGGGCAACCCUGACGCAGCAACGCCGCGUGAAGGAUGAAGGCUUUCGGGUUGUAAACUUCUUUGAUCGGGGACGAAGAUGACGGUACCCGAGGAACAAGCCACGGCUAACUACGUGCCAGCAGCCGCGGUAAUACGUAGGUGGCAAGCGUUGUCCGGAAUUACUGGGUGUAAAGGGCGUGUAGGCGGGGAGACAAGUCAGAUGUGAAAUACCGUGGCUUAACUGCGGGGGUGCAUCUGAAACUGUUUCUCUUGAGUGUCGGAGAGGAAAGUGGAAUUCCCAGUGUAGCGGUGAAAUGCGUAGAGAUUGGGAGGAACACCAGUGGCGAAGGCGGCUUUCUGGACGAUAACUGACGCUGAGGCGCGAAAGCGUGGGUAGCAACCAAAAGGAGAUACCCUGGUAGUCCACGCCGU